Molecule: long non-coding RNA, 476 nt
Organism: Jaculus jaculus (lesser Egyptian jerboa)
Lineage: Eukaryota; Metazoa; Chordata; Mammalia; Rodentia; Dipodidae
Exons: 3
Source: RefSeq, a predicted model, not a curated record
UGCAACACACGCGCCACAGCCCCGAGUGGGUGAGGUCGCCUCGGGCGCGGCGGGGCGGGGGCCCGUCGUCCAUGGUCAGGUUGGUGCCGUUGCAGAUGUGCGCGCUGGAGUAGAGCCAGUAAUCGGUGCCGAUGGCGAUGGCCAUGAGCGAGAAGGCGGCGAACGCUCCGGCCGUGGUCAGCAGCAUCUGCAGCCCGCGGUCGCAUCGCACCAUGGCUUCAUUCACGUUAUUAGAGCGAAGGAAACUAGCCGAGGGGAGGGGUUCCCCCGGAGGACCGAAGGCAAACUGUCUCCAGCGACCUCUCUACCCAACCUGGGACGCUCAGCUUUCCCUCGGUCCUUAGGGAGUCUGCAGUCUGUCGAGUGGGGCGUUGCGUGCGUGUCUGCUGUGCCCCCCACCCCCGAACCUCUCUGUCUCUACCUGGCUGUGAAGGAACCACGUAAGCCAGAUGCACAAGAUGGAACAUGUGUUUGGA